CUACGGUGCGGCGCCGGAGGCCGAGGGGAAGGCGGUGCACCCCUCGGUGGGCAGCGGCAGCGCCUGGAAGCUGAGCGGGCCCGACCUCGGCCCGCACGUGCCUGGGCGGCCACAGGAAGCUCCAGCGGCGGCCGGCGGCGCGCGGGGACGGCGGGGGACGCGCGCGCCGGGUUGCCGGAGGUCGCCGGGGCCGACUGGAGGGCGGCGCGGCCGAAGCGAGGCGUGGACGCA
RNAcentral lists this long non-coding RNA (231 nucleotides) under Ananas comosus (pineapple). Its description in RNAcentral is "long non-coding RNA (ACOM_LNC039924)". The record is from RNAcentral. Lineage: Eukaryota; Viridiplantae; Streptophyta; Magnoliopsida; Poales; Bromeliaceae.